UUGCCAGAAAAAUAGGAAAAAGUUGUAGAAGACGAAGGAAGAUAUUUUGAUUAAUGUAACUCCUUUGAUUCUCUUGGAAUAAAUAAAUAAUCGCAAACCUUUCAGUGAAA
Long non-coding RNA from Bombus impatiens (common eastern bumble bee), 110 nucleotides. RefSeq lists it as uncharacterized. Lineage: Eukaryota; Metazoa; Arthropoda; Insecta; Hymenoptera; Apidae. The record is from RefSeq and is a predicted model, not a curated record. The transcript has 3 exons.